AUUGAAGUCUUGAAGCCAGCUGGGAAGGGCUGCUAGCUUUUCAAUUAUCAUUUAUGAAUUCAUCAGAAUGAAAUAUUGACUACUAAUUAAAGGCAGAAAAUUACUCCUGGAAUAAAUUGAUAAAGGAAGAGAAAAAAACAAGAUGUGAACCCUUUGUCACACCCUCUCUGCUGGUUUUAAUGUGCAAACUUUUGUCCUGACAAGGUGGUAAAAUGUCUGCGUGUGAAGAUGUUUGAGCAAGAAGAUUUCUGACAGCCAUGGUUGUCUGAGCUGAGGAUGAAGCAGAGCUUACUGGGUACAGAAGAAUCUUCUGGCCCUGUGGCUUUCAAGCCUGGCUGCACAUUAGAUCUCCUGGAGUACUUUCAGAAAAAUAGCCACUGGUAUGACAUGUGUAGUGGCGUUCUUAAAAAGCUCUCCAGGAUUCUCCCUCUUGCCUUCCUGAAGAAUUCAGAGUUCUACUUUCCCAUCUUGCAGACGGUCCUCUAAUAAAGGCAAUUCUCUUUUGAAUCUGAUUCCUGUGGUAGUAAUGGCAGAGUUUCUCACUGAACCAGAAGCUGAUAGUUGCAGCUAGGUCUACUGGCCAAUGAGUGCCUGAGAUCCUCUGGUCUCCGCCCCUCAACGCUGGAGUUCCGGGAAUGCAUGCCGAGGUUAUACAGAUGUUUCUCAUUCAUUUAUGUCAUGUGUUCUUACCCCUGGAGCCACCGUCCCAGCCUCUGGCAACUUAUUCCUGCUUGCUUGAAGCUGCAGGAGGUUUCUUUUCAUUGAGGCUGCCGAGUUUGUUUAACACUUCGGAUGAAGGAACGGUGAAGAACUUGAGGCGUGUGUUUCUCCAUGCAUUCAAAGACUAGCCAGGCUUGCUUUGUUUUGCUUUGAGACAGAGCUGUAGGUAACCCAGGCUGGCCUGAGACUUGGGCUUCUCCUUCUCCUCCUGUCUCCACCUCCUGCUGGGAUUACAGGCAUGAACAGCUAUGGCUGCAGUGCGUGGUUCUGGGGAUUGAGUCUAAGCCUUUGUGCACCUUAGGUGUGGCCUUCUUGGAGGGAGUGUGUCACUGUGGAGGUGGUCUUUGAGAUCUCUAUGCUCAGGCUCUAGCUAGUUUGGAAAGAUAGUCUUCUGUCUACCUUUGGAUCAAGAUGUAGAAAUCUCAGCAACUUCUCCAGCACCAUGUCUGCCUGGAUGCUGCCAUGUUUCCCACCGUGAUGAUGUUGGACUGAAACUAAAGAAGAACCACAUGAGAUGAGAGAACCAUUACUGACCAAAUCCUUGCUGUAGUAGGCGCCUAAGAGUACUGCUUGAUUUCUUGCCCUGGUUUUUACUGUUUGACUAGAAGUAAGUAGGUAGUGUGCAUUGAUUAGCAAAAAUGCUGUUUAUUCUAAAAGAAAAGGGAGGAAAAUUAUAUGCAUAAAAACAAUUACACUGAGAUAGAAAAGUAGAAUCGGUGCUCGAUUGCAUGCCGCUAUGAAGACUAAAGUAACUAAAAUUGAAAUGUUUUCAUUGUGAACUUUUAUGUUUAACAAGCCCAGACAUUCAGAACCCUGUAAGUGAUAUUAAAGCCUUUUAUGAAGGGAUUACGUUUUGUAUGAUGAGUGUUUUAAUAUAAGUAUGGUACACUGCAUAAAAUAUAACUACAU
RNAcentral lists this long non-coding RNA (1629 nucleotides) under Mus pahari (shrew mouse). RNAcentral's name for it is "lncRNA (MGP_PahariEiJ_G0006464.1)". The record is from RNAcentral. Lineage: Eukaryota; Metazoa; Chordata; Mammalia; Rodentia; Muridae.